UACGGGGGGGGUAAGCGUUGUUCGGAAUUACUGGGCGUAAAGGGCGCGUAGGCGGCCCGCUAAGUCGAACGUGAAAUCCCCGAGCUCAACUCGGGAACUGCGUCCGAUACUGGUGGGCUUGAAUCCGGGAGAGGGAUGCGGAAUUCCAGGUGUAGCGGUGAAAUGCGUAGAUAUCUGGAGGAACACCGGUGGCGAAGGCGGCAUCCUGGACCGACAUUGACGCUGAGGCGCGAAAGCCAGGGGAGCAAACGGG
This 253-nucleotide ribosomal RNA is filed under the name uncultured bacterium. RNAcentral's name for it is "partial 16S ribosomal RNA". It matches the Rfam family "Bacterial small subunit ribosomal RNA", at positions 524 to 776 of the family's 1533-position model. The record is from RNAcentral.